Molecule: ribosomal RNA, 88 nt
Filed under: Klebsiella pneumoniae
Lineage: Bacteria; Pseudomonadati; Pseudomonadota; Gammaproteobacteria; Enterobacterales; Enterobacteriaceae
Also listed under: 1 other name
Description: partial 16S ribosomal RNA
Rfam family: Bacterial small subunit ribosomal RNA
Source: RNAcentral
UUAAAUUGAAGAGUUUGAUCAUGGCUCAGAUUGAACGCUGGCGGCAGGCCUAACACAUGCAAGUCGAGCGGUAGCACAGAGAGCUUGC